RNAcentral lists this long non-coding RNA (2095 nucleotides) under Pan troglodytes (chimpanzee). Its description in RNAcentral is "long non-coding RNA NONPTRT002506". Lineage: Eukaryota; Metazoa; Chordata; Mammalia; Primates; Hominidae. The record is from RNAcentral.
GCAUUCCCUAUGUACAAAGAGCUAAACAGAGAUGUGGAGAGAUGUGAAAAAUGUAAGAAUGAACCAAAUUGAGCUGUCAGUAUGAACAUGGCAAUGUCUGAGAUAAAAAAUACACUGGAUGAGAUUACUUAAAGAUAUACCAAUAGAAAAUAUUCCAAAUGAAAUGAAAAAACAAGAAUUUUUUUUAAAUGAUAAGAGUAUCAUUGAGCUAUAGGACAAUUUCAGGUGGCCUAGUAUACAAGUAAUUAGAGGGCCUGAAGGAAAGAAUAGGGAGGGACAAAAACAUUCUGAAAAAAGAAUGGAUUUUUAUUUUCACCCCCAACAUGUAAAGAGCUCCCAUCCUUCCACCGGAAAAAGCAGAACAACCUGAAAAUCACUAACUUUCUCAGACCCAUCAGAGACUUGAGAUUGUAGAGCAAAUCACUCUCCUGAAAUCAGAGAAAUGGGGAAGUCCAGAGAGUUGUGGCCAAGAUUGGCUUACUGGAGUAGAAGCCAUGGGAGACACAAACAGACACAGACGUAAACAGAAAACCUACAGAAUGGGGGAGAUAUUCUCAAACUAUGUAUCUGAAUAAACAGAAAACCUACAGAAUGGGGGAGAUAUUCUCAAACUAUGUAUCUGACGAAAGUCUAAUAUCCAGAAUCUAUAAGGAACUUAAACAAUUUGAUGAGUGACAAUAGCAAAGACAUGGAAUCAACCUAAGUGCCCAUCAAGGGUAGAUUAGAUAAAGAAAAUGUGGUACAUAGACACUAUGGAAUACUACACAGCCAUAAAAAAGAACAAAAUCAUGUCCUUUGCAGCAUGGAUGCAGCUGGAGGCCAUUAUCCUAAGUGAAUUAACAGAAAACCAAAUACUGCAUGUUCUCACUUAUAAGUGGGAGCUAAGCAUUGGAUACACAUGGUGAACAGCAGUUAUAGCCCAACUUGAUCUAAUUCACAUUUUAGAUUACCUCAUCCAACAACAGAAUAAUACACAUUAAUCUCUAGCUCAUGUGGAACAUUCAUCGUGAUAGACCACAUUCUAGAAUAAAACAUACUUUAAUUGAAAAGAAUAGAAAUUAUAUAUUGUAGGAUUCAGCAAAAGCAAUGCUGAAUAUAGCAUUAACUGACUAUAAUUAGAAAGGCAAUCAGUAACCUAAGCUCCCACCUUAGGCCUAAAACAAGCAGAAGAAAAAUUUAAUAAAAAUUAGAGGAUAAAUGAAUGAAAUUCAAAACAGAAAAAAACUAACAGAAAUAACAGCUGGUGCUUUGAAAAUAUUAAUAAAAUUCAUAAACCUCUAGCUAGGUUAGGCAAGAAAAAAAGAAAAGACACAAAUAAUCAAUAUCAGAAAUGAAAAAGUAUCAUCACUGUUGAUCCCAUGGACUGUGAAAGCAUAAUAAAGAAAUUCUAUAAUUAACUCUAUACCCACACAUUUCACAUGGAUGAAAUAGACCAAUUUCCGGAAAGACACAAAUUACCAAAACUUACACAAGGUGAAAUAAAUAACCUGGAUAUCCCUGUAUCUAUUAAAGAAAUUGAAUUAAUAAUAGUAGCCUUCCUAAAAAGAAAUUACCAGGCCCAAAUGGUUUUAGCAGUGAAUUCUAUUAAAAAUUUAAGGAAGAAGUCAUACCAAAUUCUCCACCAAAAAAUCUCUUCCAAAAAAUCAAGGUGACAGACACACUUUCUAACUCAUUCUAUGACGACAGCAUUACUGUAAUAACAAAACUCAGAUAAAGAUAUUAUGGGAAAGGAAAACUAUAGACCAAUAUCUCUCAUGAAUAUAAAUGCAAAGACCUUCUUAAAAUUAGCAAAGUGAAUCGAAUAAUAAAUAAAAAGAAUUAUGAAGUACGAUCCAAAUGGGAUUUAUUCUAGAUAUGCAAGAUGGGUUCAGCAUUCAAAAAGCAAUCUCUGUAAUCCACAUAUCAACAGACUAAAGAAAACAAUAUAUAACCAUAUCAAAUGAAGCAGAAAAUUUAUUUAACAUUUUUCUCUCUUUGGCUUCUUUCUGCUCUUUCUCUUCUUCCCUUUCCCUGUCUUCCUCUUCUCCACUACUCCUCUACUACUCCUCUUCUCCUCUACUCCACUUUUCUGAAGGGGGAAGACAUUAGCUCUCCA